Molecule: non-coding RNA, 135 nt
Organism: Triticum aestivum (bread wheat)
Lineage: Eukaryota; Viridiplantae; Streptophyta; Magnoliopsida; Poales; Poaceae
Source: Rfam
AUGCUACUCCCUCCGUUCCGAAUUAUUUGUCUUAGAUUUGUUUAGAUACAGAGGUAUCUAGCACUAAAAUAUGUCUAGAUACACCGGUAUUUAGACAAAUCCAAGACAAAUAAUUCAGAACGAAGGGAGUAGUAU